GAUGAACGCUGGCGGCGUGCCUAAUACAUGCAAGUCGAGCGAACAGACGAGGAGCUUGCUCCUCUGACGUUAGCGGCGGACGGGUGAGUAACACGUGGAUAACCUACCUAUAAGACUGGGAUAACUUCGGGAAACCGGAGCUAAUACCGGAUAAUAUAUUGAACCGCAUGGUUCAAUAGUGAAAGACGGUUUUGCUGUCACUUAUAGAUGGAUCCGCGCCGCAUUAGCUAGUUGGUAAGGUAACGGCUUACUAAGGCGACGAUGCGUAGCCGACCUGAGAGGGUGAUCGGCCACACUGGAACUGAGACACGGUCCAGACUCCUACGGGAGGCAGCAGUAGGGAAUCUUCCGCAAUGGGCGAAAGCCUGACGGAGCAACGCCGCGUGAGUGAUGAAGGUCUUCGGAUCGUAAAACUCUGUUAUUAGGGAAGAACAAAUGUGUAAGUAACUAUGCACGUCUUGACGGUACCUAAUCAGAAAGCCACGGCUAACUACGUG
This 497-nucleotide ribosomal RNA is filed under the name uncultured bacterium. Its description in RNAcentral is "partial 16S ribosomal RNA". It matches the Rfam family "Bacterial small subunit ribosomal RNA", at positions 28 to 507 of the family's 1533-position model. The record is from RNAcentral.